AAAUCGCGAUAUGUAGUGUGAUCUGCCUAUAGUGAAUCAUCAAAUUUUUGAACGCAUCUUGCACCUCUGGGUAUUCCUGGAGGUACGCCUGUUUCAGUAUCAUUUUAACUUCUUUUCCCUAUAAUGGGGGCAAGAAGAUAUUACCAUUGGCCCUAGAGACCGUUCCCAGCUUCGGCCGGCGACGACUUCACGGCUUAAAUAUACUGGGUCCCACCAUUAACUUGUUUUUUGGUUCGGCUUGAAUACCCUUUGGUAGACUUUCUACUAUAAGCUAUAUCAUACCGGGCAAAAAAUGGGGACCAUAGCCCACAAACCCUUUGAUCUGAAAUCAGGCGGGAUUACCCGCUGAACUUAA
RNAcentral lists this unclassified non-coding RNA (355 nucleotides) under uncultured fungus. RNAcentral's name for it is "sequence contains ITS1". The stretch from base 1 to 102 matches the Rfam family "5.8S ribosomal RNA", at positions 50 to 154 of the family's 154-position model. The record is from RNAcentral. Lineage: Eukaryota; Fungi.